UACGAGGGGGCUAGCGUUGCUCUGAAUCACUGGGCGUAACGCGCACGUAGGCGGGUCGUUAAGUCAGGGGUGAAAUCCUGGAGCUCACCUCCAGAACUGCCCUUGAUACUGGCGAUCUCGAGUUCGGGAGAGGUGAGUGGAACUGCGAGUGUAGAGGUGAAAUUCGUAGAUAUUCGCAAGAACACCAGUGGCGAAGGCGGCUCACUGGCCCGAUACUGACGCUGAGGUGCGAAAGCGUGGGGAGCAAACAGG
RNAcentral lists this ribosomal RNA (252 nucleotides) under uncultured bacterium. RNAcentral describes it as "partial 16S ribosomal RNA". It matches the Rfam family "Bacterial small subunit ribosomal RNA", at positions 524 to 776 of the family's 1533-position model. The record is from RNAcentral.